CGUGUAGGCGGUUCGGCAAGUCAGAUGUGAAAGCCCUGGGCUCAACUCAGGAAGUGCAUUUGAAACUGCCAUUCUAGAGUAUGGGAGAGGAGAGUGGAAUUCCCAGUGUAGAGGUGAAAUUCGUAGAUAUUGGGAGGAACACCCGUGGCGAAGGCGACUCUCUGGACCAAUACUGACGCUGAGACGCGAAAGCGUGGGGAGCAAACA
RNAcentral lists this ribosomal RNA (207 nucleotides) under uncultured bacterium. RNAcentral's name for it is "partial 16S ribosomal RNA". It matches the Rfam family "Bacterial small subunit ribosomal RNA", at positions 568 to 774 of the family's 1533-position model. The record is from RNAcentral.